CCUUCAAAUCGAUAGUUUAUUAAUUAGUUAUUAUUUAUACGUUUUAUUUGAUCAACACGAAAUGUAGCGCAAAAUAAUAUUGAUAAAGGUACAACUGCUCGUGAAGAGAGAACGAAUCCGCAAAUAAUACCAAAGUGACGGUAUAAUGUAUAACGUUCGGGUGUGUGAAUGACCGCCGCCGUGUUCGUCUCAUCGGAGAAUACAUCAUUAAAGAAAUGUUUUAUUUAUCAAUUUAAUGGAUUUAUACAAUAUUUAAUGAUAAACCAUGGUAUAUUUUCAUAUUUCCUUGAAUUCUGUGCAGAGAGUCUCGCAAUAAAGUCGUAAGAAGUCUUGGUCGUGAGGUUCGAUGCCGGGCAAAAUCCUAGAUAUGGCUGAUUUUCGAGUCGCCGGGGCGAAAAUUGGACGUCGAAAAAUGAAUUUUGGUAUCAGGAGAAUAUGAUGAGUGAGGAGCCAGGGAAUCAGGAGACUAUACGCAAACGUUAGUAACUCGUCGAAAAAAAAACAAAAGAUGGGCGGAGCGUCCCAUUGGUUGCCCGGCGCCAUCAUGCUUUUUGGCGCCUGGAACCAAUAGGAAGCCGCGAAAAAGCUCGGAGCAAACUCGUCUCCUAUUUCAAAGAGUUACUAACGUUUGCGCAUAGUCCCUUAAUUUCAAAAUGGACCCCGCCGCCGGAUUGAACGUGAAUCAAAUUGGCAGAGCAGAUGUUCAUUUAAACGGGUUAAUUAAUAGUAUAUUCGGACGGAUAAAGAGUAUUUAUACAGCAGUGCAUUGAGAAUAGUUUGAAAAUCAACGGUAUGGCACUGCGAGUAUAUCACGUUAUUUUGCGAAUGCUCAACCUCCACUCUAACGAUUGUAUGAAAGCUCCCAGACGUUUGCACCAGAUGAGAUUCCUAUGCGUGCUGACACUCAAUUAUACAAUUAGUAAAGUGAAUACUACUGGAAGUAAAUGUCACCAUUUCGGAGUAGAAGAAUCAAAGUGCAUCCUCAAGAGCAGAGGGGCUAGAAUGACGGCUAGAACAUUGGAUUCAAUCUAUAGAAGAGUCUUAUCAUACUUGGUUGUUUUUUGAAAUGAAUACUGGAAGCGUUGACCACUGCUAUUCGUUCCAUUCUUCCAGAUCGAACUGUAUUCGUCCCAGGGGAGAAUGCAAAGCUGAAACGACAGAGUGCUUGCGGUAUACGUCAGAUGUUAUUAUUACACCCCUGUGUGCCUUGGCGGAAAGUCACUGCCAGUGUGUCGCUGGGCAAGGUCCAGCUGCCCACCGCGAGCAUGUUGUUGCUCUGCUUCUGAAAACGACACAGAGAGUUUGAGAAAGAGAAAUCAUACUUUCUGAUUCGGAUUCCUGAGAUCAAAAUACAUAAGGAUAGCAUGACAAACCCUUCCAAAAAAAAU
Athalia rosae (coleseed sawfly) is the source of this 1388-nucleotide long non-coding RNA. RefSeq lists it as uncharacterized. The record is from RefSeq and is a predicted model, not a curated record. The transcript is spliced from 4 exons. NCBI's taxonomy places the organism in Eukaryota, Metazoa, Arthropoda, Insecta, Hymenoptera, Athaliidae.